CUCGGUGACGAUAGCGAUAGGGACCCACCUCUUUCCAUUCCGAACAGAGAAGUUAAACCUAUAAGCGCUGAAGAUACUAAGGCUUUGACCUUGGGAAAAUAAGUCGUUGCCGGGA
This 115-nucleotide ribosomal RNA is filed under the name bacterium. The record is from RNAcentral.